AGUGAACGCUGGCGGUAGGCCUAACACAUGCAAGUCGAACGGCAGCACAGUAAGAGCUUGCUCUUACGGGUGGCGAGUGGCGGACGGGUGAGGAAUACAUCGGAAUCUACUUUUUCGUGGGGGAUAACGUAGGGAAACUUACGCUAAUACCGCAUACGACCUACGGGUGAAAGCAGGGGAUCUUCGGACCUUGUGCGAUUGAAUGAGCCGAUGUCGGAUUAGCUAGUUGGCGGGGUAAAGGCCCACCAAGGCGACGACCCGUAGCUGGUCUGAGAGGAUGAUCAGCAACACUGGAACUGAGACACGGUCCAGACUCCUACGGGAGGCAGCAGUGGGGAAUAUUGGACAAUGGGCGCAAGCCUGAUCCAGCCAUACCGCGUGGGUGAAGAAGGCCUUCGGGUUGUAAAGCCCUUUUGUUGGGAAAGAAAAGCAGCAGGUUAAUACCCCGCUGUUCUGACGGUACCCAAAGAAUAAGCACCGGCUAACUUCGUG
This 492-nucleotide ribosomal RNA is filed under the name uncultured bacterium. RNAcentral describes it as "partial 16S ribosomal RNA". It matches the Rfam family "Bacterial small subunit ribosomal RNA", at positions 29 to 507 of the family's 1533-position model. The record is from RNAcentral.